GGAGAACUUCGUGCCUGGAACAUCACCACAUUGGCCAUUGAAUUUCCUUGGACAAGUCUUUUCAUUUCCAACCAGCUCGGCAGACUAGACGCGUGUGCGUGGAAGCUGUGAAUUUUCACCAAAUUCAGCACUUCCUGCUUGGUUUUUUGAGAAAAUGAGAGCUAAGUGGCGCAAGAAGCGUAUGCGGAGGUUGAAGCGGAAGCGCAGAAAGAUGCGUGCGAGGUCCAAGUAAAUCUACAUGAGACUUUGCUGUUCCAUGUGUUCCGGACAGGAGAUGACGAAUGGUGGAGGGUGACAUCGCCUGAGAUUGUUAAGAAGCUCCAUAUCAGAAAAUAAAUCGAUAUUUCACUGUUGGAACACGAGAAAA
This is a long non-coding RNA of Lutzomyia longipalpis, 367 nucleotides long. RefSeq lists it as uncharacterized. Lineage: Eukaryota; Metazoa; Arthropoda; Insecta; Diptera; Psychodidae. The record is from RefSeq and is a predicted model, not a curated record. The transcript is spliced from 3 exons.